GGUAAAAGGAGACACAGGUCACUGUGAAGCAGUAGGAGACAGAUGGACAUAGGAGCUGCAGGACAUAGAGCCAACCAGCUAUGUGAGAUUUCAGAUUCAACUGAAGUCAGACUGAACAGACCGGAGGAAACCAUCAUACAGCAAUGUAAAGAUGAAUUAAAACAAGAGACCCACUCACAGUUUUCAGACAACAGACCCACUCACAGAUAGCAGUAGCUAUCUGCACUUCUGGCAAGAGAAAAGUGGAUAUAAUAUGUCACCGGGAAUAUGUCAACCGUGUUAUCCUUUG
Grammomys surdaster is the source of this 289-nucleotide long non-coding RNA. RefSeq lists it as uncharacterized. The transcript has 3 exons. Lineage: Eukaryota; Metazoa; Chordata; Mammalia; Rodentia; Muridae. The record is from RefSeq and is a predicted model, not a curated record.